CGGGGUGGAGUAAUGCUUGGGAAUCUAGCUUAUGAGGGGGAGUAACUACGGGAAACUGUAGCUAAUACCGCGUAGAAUCGAGAGAUGAAAGUGUGGGACCUUCGGGCCACAUGCCAUAGGAUGAGCCCAAGUGGGAUUAGGUAGUUGGUGAGGUAAAGGCUCACCAAGCCGACGAUCUCUAGCUGGUCUGAGAGGAUGACCAGCCACACUGGGACCGAGACACGGCCCAG
This 230-nucleotide ribosomal RNA is filed under the name uncultured bacterium. Its description in RNAcentral is "partial 16S ribosomal RNA". It matches the Rfam family "Bacterial small subunit ribosomal RNA", at positions 104 to 334 of the family's 1533-position model. The record is from RNAcentral.